RNAcentral lists this ribosomal RNA (987 nucleotides) under Lacticaseibacillus casei. RNAcentral describes it as "bacterial SSU rRNA". It matches the Rfam family "Bacterial small subunit ribosomal RNA", at positions 71 to 1033 of the family's 1533-position model. Lineage: Bacteria; Bacillati; Bacillota; Bacilli; Lactobacillales; Lactobacillaceae. The record is from RNAcentral.
GAUCGGUGCUUGCACCGAGAUUCAACAUGGAACGAGUGGCGGACGGGUGAGUAACACGUGGGUAACCUGCCCUUAAGUGGGGGAUAACAUUUGGAAACAGAUGCUAAUACCGCAUAGAUCCAAGAACCGCAUGGUUCUUGGCUGAAAGAUGGCGUAAGCUAUCGCUUUUGGAUGGACCCGCGGCGUAUUAGCUAGUUGGUGAGGUAAUGGCUCACCAAGGCGAUGAUACGUAGCCGAACUGAGAGGUUGAUCGGCCACAUUGGGACUGAGACACGGCCCAAACUCCUACGGGAGGCAGCAGUAGGGAAUCUUCCACAAUGGACGCAAGUCUGAUGGAGCAACGCCGCGUGAGUGAAGAAGGCUUUCGGGUCGUAAAACUCUGUUGUUGGAGAAGAAUGGUCGGCAGAGUAACUGUUGUCGGCGUGACGGUAUCCAACCAGAAAGCCACGGCUAACUACGUGCCAGCAGCCGCGGUAAUACGUAGGUGGCAAGCGUUAUCCGGAUUUAUUGGGCGUAAAGCGAGCGCAGGCGGUUUUUUAAGUCUGAUGUGAAAGCCCUCGGCUUAACCGAGGAAGCGCAUCGGAAACUGGGAAACUUGAGUGCAGAAGAGGACAGUGGAACUCCAUGUGUAGCGGUGAAAUGCGUAGAUAUAUGGAAGARCACCAGUGGCGAAGGCGGCUGUCUGGUCUGUAACUGACGCUGAGGCUCGAAAGCAUGGGUAGCGAACAGGAUUAGAUACCCUGGUAGUCCAUGCCGUAACGAUGAAUGCUAGGUGUUGGAGGGUUUCCGCCCUUCAGUGCCGCAGCUAACGCAUUAAGCAUUCCGCCUGGGGAGUACGACCGCAAGGUUGAAACUCAAAGGAAUUGACGGGGGCCCGCACAAGCGGUGGAGCAUGUGGUUUAAUUCGAAGCAACGCGAAGAACCUUACCAGGUCUUGACAUCUUUUGAUCACCUGAGAGAUCAGGUUUCCCCUUCGGGGGCAAAAUG